Molecule: ribosomal RNA, 440 nt
Filed under: uncultured bacterium
Lineage: Bacteria
Description: partial 16S ribosomal RNA
Rfam family: Bacterial small subunit ribosomal RNA
Source: RNAcentral
CCUACGGGUGGCAGCAGUGGGGAAUAUUGCGCAAUGGGCGAAAGCCUGAUGCAGCGACGCCGCGUGAGGGAAGAAGGUUUUCGGUACGUAAAACUCUAUCGGCAGAGAAGAAAUAGAAGGUACCUGACUAAGAAGCCCCGGCUAACUACGAGCCAGCAGCCGCGGUAAUACGUAGGGGGCGAGCGUUCUCCGGAUUUACUGGGUGUAAAGGGGGCGUAGACGGCAGCGCAAGUCUGGAGUGAAAGCCCAUGGCUUAACCAUGGAACUGCUUUGGAAACUGGGCAGCUGGAGUGCAGGAGAGGUAAGCGGAAUUCCUAGUGUAGCGGUGAAAUGCGUAGAUAUGAGGAGGAACACCAGUGGCGAAGGCGGCUUACUGGACUGUAACUGACGCUGAGGCUCGAAAGCGUGGGGAGCAAACAGGAUUAGAUACCCGAGUAGUC